AUUGAUUCAGAAUCUCCAGAUGUGUUUUAAGCUUGGAAAAUCUAAGAGGUCAGGCGAGGCGGGAUGUGGACAAGACUUUCUGCUACCAAAAUGAGGGGAUAUUAAACAAUGCACUCUCAAUCAGAGUGGAAUCGGAGUGAAGGGGAGAAUGAAUGCUGGCAAUAACUCACUCCGACCAAGCUGCCUGAGGAAGAGUGCUAAGAGCACCAACAAUCAAGAAUCCAGGAGAGGAAAAAGAAGCAAUGCCUCCAAAUAGGCAGUAUAAUUUGGGGUCAGAUAUGAAGCAGAUGAAGUCAGUAAAGAAAAGACAAAUGGAGCGACAGCUAUCCCAGUAUCCCUGCUUCAUAAGGCCCAUUGUUCCAGUCUGUUACUGUGCAGCUGUGUUUGGCUGGUUUCUUUUUGACCCUCACCUUAAUAACAGGCCUUUCCUUCACUUUCCACAUGCCCCAGGAUGUCUCUGACACACCUAGGGAGCGCCGCAAACUCCAAUGUUGCUGGGCAGCCCUGUUUUCCUCUUUCUGAGUCCAGAAGUGGUGCAGCCUGGGCUUUUACCUUGACCUUUGACCUCCCAUGUCAUGAAGUUAACACGGUUCCUGCCUCCAGCUAAUGGUUUCCAACACUGCAGAAUUGAGUCUAUUUUAUCAAUUACAUGAACUUCAGUCUUUGGCAUAAAGGUCAUUAUUGUAUUUUGUACCUGGAAUUGUAUUGUAAUGAGGCAAAUCACAUUCUCUUACAGUCAAUGAGGGGGAAAAAAGCACACAAAAUGGAAAUUACUCCUAAAAUGACCUUGCUAGAUUUCUAUAUCUGGCUAACAGACUCUGUUUCUAUACAUCAAAAAACUGACAUGGCAGCUUUGUCAUAUAACCAGG
Molecule: long non-coding RNA, 869 nt
Organism: Gorilla gorilla gorilla (western lowland gorilla)
Lineage: Eukaryota; Metazoa; Chordata; Mammalia; Primates; Hominidae
Exons: 3
Source: RefSeq, a predicted model, not a curated record